UACAGAGGUCUCAAGCGUUGUUCGGAUUCAUUGGGCGUAAAGGGCACGUAGGCGGCUCGGCAAAUCGGUCGUGGAAUCUCGACGCUUACCGUCGAAACGGCGGCCGAAAAUACCGGGCUCGAGGGCGUGAGGGGUCACUGGAACUCCUGGUGAAGCGGUGAAAUGCGUAGAUAUCAGGAGGAACGCCGGAGGCGAAAGCGAGUGACUGGCGCGUUCCUGACGCUGAGGUGCGAAAGCUAGGGGAGCAAACAGG
This 253-nucleotide ribosomal RNA is filed under the name uncultured bacterium. RNAcentral describes it as "partial 16S ribosomal RNA". It matches the Rfam family "Bacterial small subunit ribosomal RNA", at positions 524 to 776 of the family's 1533-position model. The record is from RNAcentral.